GCUUGCUAUUUGCUGACGACCGGCGCACGGGUGCGUAACGCGUAUAGAAUCUACCUUGUACUAGGGGAUAGCCUUUGGAAACGAAGAUUAAUACCCUAUAGUAAGUAUUUAUGGCAUCAUUUAUACUUUAAAGGUUACGGUACAAGAUGACUAUGCGUCCUAUUAGUUUGUUGGUGAGGUAACGGCUCACCAAGACUUCGAUAGGUAGGGGCCCUGAGAGGGGGAUCCCCCACACUGGUACUGAGACACGGACCAGACUCCUACGGGAGGCAGCAGUGAGGAAUAUUGGACAAUGGAGGCAACUCUGAUCCAGCCAUGCCGCGUGCAGGAUGACGGCCCUAUGGGUUGUAAACUGCUUUUAUGUAGGAAGAAACACUCUCACGUGUGAGAGCUUGACGGUA
RNAcentral lists this ribosomal RNA (401 nucleotides) under uncultured bacterium. Its description in RNAcentral is "bacterial SSU rRNA". It matches the Rfam family "Bacterial small subunit ribosomal RNA", at positions 78 to 477 of the family's 1533-position model. The record is from RNAcentral.